Elaeis guineensis (African oil palm) is the source of this 1144-nucleotide RNA transcript. RefSeq lists it as uncharacterized. The record is from RefSeq and is a predicted model, not a curated record. NCBI's taxonomy places the organism in Eukaryota, Viridiplantae, Streptophyta, Magnoliopsida, Arecales, Arecaceae.
AGCCCCAGGCCAUGUCCUCCUCUCCUCCUUCCCUUUCCGAGGCCCAAACCCUAGCUCCGACCACCGAUCACUCCUCCGCUCCACUUCCUCCUCCUCUCUCCGGUGAUUCCGACCGGCCAAAUUCCUCCUCCGUGGUGGCGGUGGCGGCGGAGAGUGGUGAUGAGGAGAAGAACGGAGGAGAGACUGGCGAGGGCGGAGAGGAGGCAGAGGAGGAGGCGGAGUGCGGGUUCUGCUUGUUCAUGAAGGGAGGAGGUUGCAAGGAGGCGUUCAUCGCGUGGGAGAAGUGCGUGGAGGAGGCCGACAAGACCGGCGAGGACGCCGUCGACAAGUGCUUCGAGGUCACCACCCUCCUUAAGAAGUGCAUGGACGCCCACGCCGAUUACUACGCCCCCAUCCUCGUGGCCGAGCAGGUCGCCGCCGCCGCCGCCAAUUCCGCCUCCUCCCCAGGCCCUGAGAAAUAGAAGUUUGAAGGUUUAGAAGGCAAAGUACUUUAUGCUGGCUGUUGGAUGCUAAGUAUGAAUCCUAGCAUUAGUUGUUGUGGAUGGGCUACAAGCUUAGAUCAUCAAAUCAUGAAAGGUUGCCAAAGAUCAUUAUUUGUUCCAGUAGUCCAUCACCACCUUGCCAUUGCUCACAUCCACGCCGAUCAGCAGCCCCGCCCUCACCAUCCUCUGGGCCUGCACAAAUUAGUCUUUGAACCCCUGACAGAUCACGUCGUUAGAGUUCAGGUACAAAUUUGGAGACCAGUUGUACGGUCCCUUCCCCAGGUUAAAACCCUUCAAUGGGUCCCCUGCUAAGUUCUCAAUCUUUUGCUUCGCCCCUUUCUUCUUCUUAUCUUUCAUGGUCGCAAAGCAGGGGAAUGCCAGGUUAGAGAGGAAGGUGUCGAAGUUCUCGAGCUUCGAGUUGGUGGAGACUGGAGAGCAGCACAUAUGGCGGCAUAGGCUCCAAGGGAGUGGCCAGCCUGCCAUAGCUUUAAGAUGUCCGAUGAAUGUGUAUAUUUUGUAAUUCACAUUACUCUUUUUUUUUUGGUAAAUAUAACACUUUAUUAGUACUCACGAGCAGAAAUUACAAGCCUGAACGGUCUUGUUGCAAAAAUACAGCAGCAAGAUGGGUAACUGUUGCAAGGAGGGAAUAUAAAAGAGCACAU